GAUUCCUUAGCUCAGUUGGUAGAGCACCAGACUUUUAAUCUGUUGUGGUCCUCGGUUCGAGUCCGAGAGGAAUCA
RNAcentral lists this transfer RNA (75 nucleotides) under Streptomyces sp. JV178. RNAcentral's name for it is "tRNA-Lys". It matches the Rfam family "tRNA". From Rfam's summary of the family: Transfer RNA (tRNA) molecules are approximately 80 nucleotides in length. Their secondary structure includes four short double-helical elements and three loops (D, anti-codon, and T loops). The record is from RNAcentral. Lineage: Bacteria; Bacillati; Actinomycetota; Actinomycetes; Kitasatosporales; Streptomycetaceae. RNAcentral also lists the same sequence under 2 other names.